RNAcentral lists this ribosomal RNA (394 nucleotides) under uncultured bacterium. RNAcentral describes it as "bacterial SSU rRNA". It matches the Rfam family "Bacterial small subunit ribosomal RNA", at positions 29 to 429 of the family's 1533-position model. The record is from RNAcentral.
AUUGAACGCUGGCGGCAUGCCUUACACAUGCAAGUCGAACGGCAGCACGGGGCAACCUGGUGGCGAGUGGCGAACGGGUGAGUAAAGCAUCGGAACGUGCCCUGGAGUGGGGGGAUAACGUAGCGAAAGUUACGCUAAUACCGCAUAUUCUGUGAGCAGGAAAGCAGGGGAUCGCAAGACCUUGCGCUCUGGGAGCGGCCGAUGUCGGAUUAGCUAGUUGGUGGGGUAAAGGCCUACCAAGGCGACGAUCCGUAGCGGGUCUGAGAGGAUGAUCCGCCACACUGGGACUGAGACACGGCCCAGACUCCUACGGGAGGCAGCAGUGGGGAAUUUUGGACAAUGGGCGGAAGCCUGAUCCAGCCAUGCCGCGUGAGUGAAGAAGGCCUGGUGUAAG